RNAcentral lists this ribosomal RNA (77 nucleotides) under Staphylococcus argenteus. RNAcentral describes it as "partial 16S ribosomal RNA". It matches the Rfam family "Bacterial small subunit ribosomal RNA", at positions 1 to 74 of the family's 1533-position model. Lineage: Bacteria; Bacillati; Bacillota; Bacilli; Caryophanales; Staphylococcaceae. The record is from RNAcentral.
UUUUUUAUGGAGAGUUUGAUCCUGGCUCAGGAUGAACGCUGGCGGCGUGCCUAAUACAUGCAAGUCGAGCGAACGGA